AAGCUCUGGCCUUUUGCUCAUUUGAUCACCUAUGGAGUGAUUCCAGUCGAGCAACGCCUCUUAUGGGUGGAUUGCGUGGAGCUGAUUUGGGUUACUAUACUCUCAACGUACUCGAAUGAGAAAUCUGAAGAGCGGAUAUCCGAGGCAUCUGAACCCAAUCCCAGUGGCAAGUCUCUCGAGGAGUAAAUAAAGCAAACAUGCUUCUUCAGAAGAUGUCUCCUUCACUUCAGACCAGUUAGCUGCGUUUUGAGAAAGCUAAAGAUCCGACAGGCUACGUACAAAAUACAUCUACAUC
This is a long non-coding RNA of Salvia splendens (bonfire salvia), 295 nucleotides long. RefSeq lists it as uncharacterized. The record is from RefSeq and is a predicted model, not a curated record. Lineage: Eukaryota; Viridiplantae; Streptophyta; Magnoliopsida; Lamiales; Lamiaceae. The transcript has 3 exons.